GAUGAACGCUGGCGGCGUGCCUAAUACAUGCAAGUCGAGCGAACAGACGAGGAGCUUGCUCCUCUGACGUUAGCGGCGGACGGGUGAGUAACACGUGGAUAACCUACCUAUAAGACUGGGAUAACUUCGGGAAACCGGAGCUAAUACCGGAUAAUAUAUUGAACCGCAUGGUUCAAUAGUGAAAGACGGUUUUGCUGUCACUUAUAGAUGGAUCCGCGCCGCAUUAGCUAGUGGGUAAGGUAACGGCUUACCAAGGCAACGAUGCGUAGCCGACCUGAGAGGGUGAUCGGCCACACUGGAACUGAGACACGGUCCAGACUCCUACGGGAGGCAGCAGUAGGGAAUCUUCCGCAAUGGGCGAAAGCCUGACGGAGCAACGCCGCGUGAGUGAUGAAGGUCUUCGGAUCGUAAAACUCUGUUAUUAGGGAAGAACAAAUGUGUAAGUAACUAUGCACGUCUUGACGGUACCUAAUCAGAAAGCCACGGCUAACUACGUG
RNAcentral lists this ribosomal RNA (497 nucleotides) under uncultured bacterium. RNAcentral describes it as "partial 16S ribosomal RNA". It matches the Rfam family "Bacterial small subunit ribosomal RNA", at positions 28 to 507 of the family's 1533-position model. The record is from RNAcentral.